UAACUAAAAUAAUAAAACCUAUUUUCGACCUUAUAGCUAAAUAAAGAAUUUUUUUUUUCUAAUUUAAAACUGAUUUUUUGGCUGCGAAUCGCAAUCUUGUUUUAUCCAUCCAAAGGAAAUCUAAUUCGUCUUCCUUAGUAACAGGUAAAAAUGGCACUGGAAAGACAGGCCGAAGAGCUUCCUCCCUGAGUACUGUCAGUUUCGGAAUCCCAAUUCCCAAACAAAUUAAAUUUCCUCACUUCUUUUCUCGACUGCCUCCCGUCGCUGGAGCUCGACGUCACUCCCAGCGCCGGUGUCGACCACUUGAACUUGGCCUAAUUACGGGGCCGUGGGAUAGCCAUUGCCCAUGCAGGAAACUUGUUCUCUGAAGAUGUCGCCGAUAUGGCGGUUGGAUUACUAAUCCAUGUCCUUAGAAAAGUGUCGGCGGGAGACCGGUUCGUAAGGCAAGGACUCUGGCCUACCAAAGGUGAUUUUCCUCUCAGAUUAAAGUUGAGCGGCAAGCAAAUAGGGAUUAGUUGGAUUGGGAGGUGAUGCUAGCAUUAGGAAAAAUUGGAGUGAUAAUCAACAUUGGUCAGGGCGAUCAUUGACGAGAAUUGACGAGAAGGAGAUAGGGUGCUGGGUGUCACAAUCGCACUUCGAGCAUGAUGGUGACACUGAGCUGGAUGUGUUUGAGAAUGAGCCCGAAAUUCCAGAACAGCUCUUUAAACUAGAUAAUGGUGCUAUCAUAACACAUGAAUCUUUUGUGGGAAUGUCUAAGUUGGUGGUGGAAAACAUGGAGGCACUCUUCUCAAACAAACCUCUGGUGUCUCCCUUCAUGGAUUAGUUAAGGAAGGCUGAAGAAAGGAUGUCUAUUGAGAAAAAGAGACUCCAAAAACUUGACAACAGAGCCACCUUAAUGUAUUGGAUUAGAGUAUUCAACCUUUCUCUUCUUUUUAGAGGACUAAUAUUUAUGGAUAUACCCAAUUGUUUGUUUCUGUAACCACCGACUCUUAACACUCUUCAAGAUUAUCCGUCUUCUU
This is an RNA transcript of Cucurbita pepo subsp. pepo (vegetable marrow), 1019 nucleotides long. It is a transcript of the gene named glyoxylate/hydroxypyruvate reductase HPR3-like, with no coding region annotated. The record is from RefSeq and is a predicted model, not a curated record. NCBI's taxonomy places the organism in Eukaryota, Viridiplantae, Streptophyta, Magnoliopsida, Cucurbitales, Cucurbitaceae.